GGAUGCCCACACACAGCACGAGGAUCACGCUCAGCAGCAAAGCCCCCACCAGCCCUGCGUACACCAUUACACCAGCACCGGAGCCAAGAGCUGAGAAACAUACAGAAAACCCCAGACGGAGGUUGAGACAAUAACAGAAAGGAUGGGAAGGCGAGAUGGCACCUCAGCAGGCGGGAUGCCCUCUGGUGGACGACACUGCAACAAGACUUCCUGCUCCAGACGCACCUCCCUGCCAAGAGGCUCCUGCUCAAAGUUCUUCCUUAGGAGCUGUCUUCUAAAAAGGCAUGUCACAGCAACAGAUGACAUAAGCUGCUGAACACAAACUCACAGGCGAUGCGGACGUAAGCCCGCCGGCUCUUUGUGGUGCCUGCCGAGCUCCAGGCAACACACUGGCACCAAUAAUCCUCCAGCCCAAACAACUCCUCUACCUGCGUCCGGGAAACAGAGAUAUCUACUUCUCUCACUACCAGA
Molecule: long non-coding RNA, 471 nt
Organism: Rhinichthys klamathensis goyatoka
Lineage: Eukaryota; Metazoa; Chordata; Actinopteri; Cypriniformes; Leuciscidae
Exons: 3
Source: RefSeq, a predicted model, not a curated record